AUUGAACGCUGGCGGCAGGCCUAACACAUGCAAGUCGAACGGUAACAGGAAGAAGCUUGCUUCUUUGCUGACGAGUGGCGGACGGGUGAGUAAUGUCUGGGAAACUGCCUGAUGGAGGGGGAUAACUACUGGAAACGGUAGCUAAUACCGCAUAACGUCGCAAGACCAAAGAGGGGGACCUUCGGGCCUCUUGCCCUCGGAUGUGCCCAGAUGGGAUUAGCUAGUAGGUGGGGUAACGGCUCACCUAGGCGACGAUCCCUAGCUGGUCUGAGAGGAUGACCAGCCACACUGGAACUGAGACACGGUCCAGACUCCUACGGGAGGCAGCAGUGGGGAAUAUUGCACAAUGGGCGCAAGCCUGAUGCAGCCAUGCCGCGUGUAUGAAGAAGGCCUUCGGGUUGUAAAGUACUUUCAGCGGGGAGGAAGGGAGUAAAGUUAAUACCUGUGCUCAUUGACGUUACCCGCAGAAGAAGCACCGGCUAACUCCGUG
RNAcentral lists this ribosomal RNA (490 nucleotides) under uncultured bacterium. RNAcentral's name for it is "partial 16S ribosomal RNA". It matches the Rfam family "Bacterial small subunit ribosomal RNA", at positions 30 to 507 of the family's 1533-position model. The record is from RNAcentral.